This 994-nucleotide long non-coding RNA is filed under the name Mytilus galloprovincialis (Mediterranean mussel). Lineage: Eukaryota; Metazoa; Mollusca; Bivalvia; Mytilida; Mytilidae. The record is from RNAcentral.
UAAUGCCCGCGUCACACUGUCCCGAUUUUUAUAUACGAUGGACACCCGAAUGCGAAAAUUGAAAGUUCGUACGAAGUUGGUCCCGAUCUCGUUAAAAUACCAAAAAGUGACCGAAGCAAGUACGAUGAAUAACGAAGUCUAUACGAUGGUGCCGAAAUUAUAUACGAUAGCAAAAAAUGGACGGGUGUUUAAGCUUCAUAUUUCAGCCGAAGCCUACACGAUGGAUCACGAAGGCUACACGAUUGAUUACGAAGGCUACACGAUGGAUUACGAUGAUGGCGCGAUGGCCAUACGAUGUCUAAAAGACGUCGUGUACAGCUUACGAUGCAUUUAAAUUAUACCGUUUCUGUACAAAUCUGCCAUGCAUGGCGGUAAAUCGAUCUUUUUGUCUAAUUCUUAUAAAACUUAGUUUAUUAUCCCCUCGCCUACUACAUGUAAGUUGCGUGUAGAUAUAAUUGUUAUGGACACUACAGAACCAAAAUGCUCAAAACUAGGUAUGGUAUUACUUGUUAAGAAUAUCUUAAGCGCUAUUCACUUUUAAGUUCAAAGGUCAAGGUCACAGAAAAAGAGCUCUUUCCAGGAGAAUAUCAUAAUAAUAUAGACAAAAGGAAGGAUGUGGGGAAAGCAAUAAAUGCGGCAAAAUAUGACAUAUAGAAAACAAAAUGGUUAUGGAGUAAACAUUCGUGUGACAACAACUCAGACGAAACAUAAAAAAUCAGAAUAAUGAAGAAAAAGUUGGUUUCCCAAUAUACGUGUACCUGAAGUGUUGGUGUACGAGGCGCGUUUAUGAUUUUCAUUAUGUUACUUGAUAUGAAAAAUUGACAAAAAAUAAUAUUUUACUUGUAAAAGUAAAUCCUGAGCCUGUAAUAACUGCUCUUCUUGUUCCAUUUGAAUUAAUAGAAACAACGCUGUCGCCUUUCUUGUUCUCAUAGAAUCAUAUGAUAUGAGCUCCAUGUUUUGUGAACGUCUUUCUUAACUGUCGUAUUAGACUGAC